This 1353-nucleotide ribosomal RNA is filed under the name Triticum aestivum (bread wheat). Its description in RNAcentral is "partial small subunit ribosomal RNA". The record is from RNAcentral. Lineage: Eukaryota; Viridiplantae; Streptophyta; Magnoliopsida; Poales; Poaceae.
AUGGAUAGAUCGCCUUACGUGCCAUGUCUCAGAGUGAAAAAUAACAAAACUGACCCUUUGGCCAAAGUUCAGCACAAAAUGGCCCUCUUUUGGAAAUAUUUCAUAAAAUGGCACUACCCGUAUGACGCCCUGGUCAAGGGCGUCAUACUGAUGGCGAGGAUCGUCAAUGUGCAUCAUGUGGACUUUGUCUCCUUUGAGAAGGGAGAUGCAGAGUAUGGUGACUCGAAGAAGAAGCCAGUAGUGAUGGUGUUUCCCACAAGUCCUAGCCUUGAGGAGGUUUUGGUUGAGCUUCGAAGAAGGUUGAAUUGGAUGGAAGAAAGCGAUGGAGUAGACUUAAUCGGAAGAAGCCCGGUUCGAGAUUCAACACAUGUCACUCCGGAUGUGCAUGACACAACAAUGAGCCAACCUCCAAUGACCCAAUGUUUGAGCCCCGUCGGGAAUGACCAAGUUGAUAACGAAUACUUGCACAUGGAUGGUGGUGAGUUUGACGGUGAUGAAUCAGAGGCUUAUCUUCAUGACCAUUAUGUUGGUGAUGUUGAGGCAAAUUGCAUGGAAGAGGACAUGGACCAUGAGAUUCCAUACAAUAGGUCCUAUGCGUGGGACUCGGAGGAUGAAGGCCCGGAUGAAGAAAUAGAUGAGGAUGAUUUGACGGCUAAAGAAGCCAAUGCUUUCAAGAAGGUAAUAGGCCGUAGUCACAAGACAUCAUUGUUUCGUGAUCUAAGCCUAGCCGAUAAGGCAAUUGUUGAUGGUGGGACAAGUAAAAUUCUUGCACCAAGGUUAACUUCAAAGCGAGAUACGAAAGCAAGUGUGUAUGGUGUUAGUGAAGGAACAAUCUUUAAAAGCUUGGCAAAACUUCAAAUAUGGGCCAAGGACUACACGGUCAAGUUUCAUCGGCCAUUCUUUGUGGAGAAGUCAAACUCGAAAGUGCGUAAUGUGGUGAGAUGUGAGGAACACAAGAAUCAUUUCCCUUGGGUUAUCCGUGCAAGAUGUGUCAAAGGCGGGCCACAAUGGAAUAUUACAAGUUCCGUGUUUCACCAUCGGUGUAGUGGCAAGGAUAUUGAUGAUGCUAAUGUAAAGGAUGAUCACCGUCAAUUAACCUCGAAAUUCAUUGCAUAUCGAUUUUCAACCUCCAUAAAGAUACUCCCGACAUAUCCCAUUCGAGCUUUGAUGGAGAUGGUGAAGGAGGUUUUUGGGUACGAGGUGAAGUAUGGGAAGGCAUGGAAGGCCAAGCAAGCUUCCUUUGAUAUAUUGUAUGGUGGUUGGGAAGAAUCAUACAACCGCCUCGCGAUGGUGUUGAAAGCAAUGGCGGCAGAAAAUCCUAGCAUGUACUAUAUGGUGAGCCAGAUGGCGUGA